ACUCAUCUGGCUUCAACCACGUCUCGAGAUUCUGUGCUCUGUCCAUCUCAUUGCAAACAUGGCUAAUUCAAUCCAAAGGAAGGGCGGAUCAAAUAAAAAUCAUGUUAAGACUUCUACUGUAGGGUUGGACCAUUUGAUUAAAAAAUUCCCCGAUGCCUACAUACCCUGUGUCGGGCUUGUAUAUGAAAAUAUAAUGGAGCCUAGCCCGCAGUUUAAAGGGAGAGGCUGGAAAAAUGGAGCACACAUGUGGAGGUCUUUCACAAAUAGCCCUGUUCAAACUGCAACAGGUGGAUCCAGUUUAGGUUUUCCAGAUAGAAUGUAGGAGACCCAGGGGAACUGGAGAUUCAGAUAAACAGUGAAGGGUGCUUUUACAAUAGCAUGUUCAAAAUAUCGCAUGGGACAUACAGACACUUAAAAACUUGGUGCCAUCUAUUUUCACUUGCUAAAACUAAUUCUGUGCCUUAGAAUCAACAGCUGGUCCUGAAUAUAAGAAAUGUAAAUGGUAUCAUAAAUACAGUGCUUUUCCACGUGUUAUGCUCAAUAAAUAAUCAUUCAAGUUGAAUAAAGUAGAACAUGGUCCUAUAUAGAAAACAUAUCCACUUUACAAAAGCUGUACAAAGGUUUUUUUCCCCCGAGCGCUAGGGAGCGACACAGGGCCUUGUACAGGACGCAAGUGCUCUACCACUGAGCUCCAACCCCAGCCCCGAGGAAGAGACUUUUAUUCUAAUUUAAAAUUCGAAGAAACCGAGGCUCUGAGACUUACGUGAGUUUUUCGGGUUUGUACAAUUAGAAGCGGGUAUUGAUGGCAUACUCACCAAAGUCUCUCUGACUUACAAAUAAUUCUGUACAAACAUCCAAAAAGUUGAGAUUUCUCCUAGUUAAGGGAAAAAAAUGGUAUAAGACAGAUCAAUUAUGCUCCAGGGACAGGAAGUCUGUCACUUUGCCAAUGGGAAACUUAGGACGACCCAUCAACUCAGCGGCUGGAGCAGCUUGAGGAGACAUUUCUGUGCAUAUGGAGAGACCUAGAGGCCAGGUAUUAAGUGCAGCACUGCCCAAGUCCUGUGUGAAGGCCAGGGAAAGCCAGUCAAAGGAACUUCCUCAAGCUCCAAGCAUGAAAUGUGGACAAAGUUAGUAUAUGACUUACCUCAGAAGAAGAGAAAAUCCACAGGUGGCAGAAAUAAAGAGAACCCCAAAGUCUAAAGGAGAAGUGACUCAUGGGACAUCAGGUGUUGGAAGACAGUUCUGUGGGGAGGGGUCAGGUUUUCCUGCUCACAGUGCACAGCCCCUGAGGUCUUUGAGUCGUCCCAAGCAGCUCUAUUGGAGGCUCCUACUGACUGCUGGGAUUCUUGAAGGAGAUCCUGUCUAUGCAAAAAGGAUUAGAACUCCACUCGUGACCUCAGGAAAUAUACCUACCUGGCCCACAGGGUUCAGGAACCCCAGAUUUAGAAAUCAGCCCACGACAUCCAGCUGUGGCGGAACCCUGAGGCCCCGCAAAGGCAAAUAGGAAAACGCUUGGCAGGUUCACAGAUCAGCCCAGCAGGAUUCCCACCCCAGGAAGGAGGGACUUAUGCAGUUACAGGAACACAAGCCAAUCCUAAGGAAAAAAGAAAAAUGGUCACCCGAGAAAUGAGAUGUAUUUAAAAAGUGUUUGCUUUAGAACAUAAAAGAAGGGGGAGAAAUCAGAAGACAAAAGCAAAGUCGUGUAAAAAGAGAAAUGCAGAAAAAAAGAAAAAUACAGUUAGAGGAAAUCUCAGUGUAGAUUAAACAGUAAGUCCAUGUAUCUGGAGACAAAAUCAGUUAAUGGAAGACAGCUCUGAACCGCAGGGAGGAGUGUGGAGAUGGGGAAUCCCCAGGGGCUAAAGGAGGCGGCCCUGAGAGUGAGAAGUUGAAAGUGCCCCUGAAAGGGGAGGAGACAUGUUCUAAAGACACGGUUUUGUAGUUUUCAGAACUGAAGGAAGACGUGAAUCCUCCCAUUACAAUUGUGUCAGCAACCCCAACGAGGACGAAUUUCACAGGGACAUCUCGGGAUGACAAAGACAAGGACACAUAAAAUUUCUUGUUACCAGGAGACAACGACAGUUUCCUUACAAGGAAAACUGGCCGAGCCUCCAAACCUACUUCAGAAACAACAGAAGACAGAAUGAAAGGGAAUAAUGCCCCAGUGUCCAGCUCAGCGGUCACGGAAAGGUACAGCAACAUAAGAUCAUUUUCACAGAAAGGAAGACAAUUUUACUAAUCAUAGACACUGCAGAAACCACAAAAAAAGGUGAGCCCCAAAGAAAGAUUAUUCCAGAAAGAAGGUUAGAGCUACAAAGAGCAAUAAUAAGGAAAUUGGCAAGCCCCUGGUGAACCCAAACAGUGUGGAUUUUGUAAACAACCAAAGGGCCUAUUGUGAGGAGUUAAAAACACGGUGGAUAAAUGAUGAUAACAUAAAGAUGAGGGGUUUGAAUAUGAAGCAUUAGUUUCUUCCACUUGGCAAAUAAGGGAUAUUGAUUAAAAUUGGACUUCAAUAUGUAUCCAUGCUGAAGAGUAGAAAUAAAAUACAUAUGUACAAAAGGGUAGAUGAAGAAGAGGAAGGAAAGAAAACUUCAUAGGAAAUGAGCAAAGAACGUGAUAAAUAACAUGGGAGAUAGAAAACACACAAAGAGAGGAAUAAGUUCAGAUAUAUAAUUAAUCAUAAAUAGAAAGUGAUGAAACUCACUGUUAAAAUGCAGAAAAUUUCAAAUUAAGUGAGAAGUAUUGGGCUGGGGAUGUGACUCAAGCGGUAGCGCGCUCGCCUGGCAUGCGUGCGGCCCGGGUUCGAUCCUCAGCACCACAUACAAACAAAGAUGUUGUGUCCGCCGAGAACUAAAAAAUAAAAAUAUUAAAAAUAAAGUGAGAAGUAUUCAUUAUUUAUAUACCUCAGAAGGAAGAACAUAGAAGACUUUAAAGUAAAACUAUUUUAAAACUAUAUAGUAGAAAGAAAGAAAGCUCAUAUUACAAUAUUAAUAUUCGAUAAAUCUAGAUUUUAAGGCACAAUAUCAAUAGUUGUAAAAGAGUUCUUUUUAAAGAUUAAAAGAAUAAUUCAUCAGGGACAUAUAACAAUCGCCACAUUCUACAAACGACAAAAUCCAUGAGGGGAGAUUUGUUAACCACUAUCAGAAACUGAUAGAUCAAACAAAUAAAAGCUGAAAAAGAUGUAAAUAUUUUAAUAUUAAUAUUAGUAAAGCUAAUUUAGUAGACAUUUUUAAGUUUACCCAUCAAAUUCAUAAAGCUAUCCUGACUUUGAUACAUGAACAAAUUUUUGUAAACAAACAAGUUUUUAUUUAUAAACACAAAUAAAAAUUUCACAAGCUAUAAGGAAACUGCGCCUGGUCACUUAUUAUUUUUAAAGUCCAUCAUGAUCAAGGAAGGCUUCCUCCAGAAAAUCUGUAAAGUAACUGACCACAGUAACAACUCAAGGAGGAAAAUCAGCCAAGAACUCAAGGGACACAGAGGAGGCAUUUGAUAAAAAUUCAGCCCUCUGUGUUUUAUAAAAACAAUUUAUCAAAUUAAAAAUUGGCAAGUGUCUUAACUUGAGUAGGAGAACCCAACAGAUGUGUGCAACGUCCAGAGCACUUAGAGCCGCCAGAUCUUCUCCCUGAUGCGGGAAACACCGCACAGGCACCUGCUCCGGCUUCUACCCGUCCUGGUGCAGGAGACCACAGGCACCGAGAGGCCAGAGUGUGAAGCCGCGGAAUGAGGAUCAGAUGGGGAGAAACGAAAUCUCCCAUCUGCAGACGGGAAUGAAGUCGAAUAUUUGAGAGACCUUGUAAAUUAAUAAGAUCAGAAUUCGGAGAUCUCUUUGCGGGUGAGGCAAGAGAGCCGUUUUCGGGACGCGGGUUUGGUUGACCCCGGGAGAGUCCACACGCAGCCCGCUCCGGCCAUUCCUGCUUCAGACCCGGGUUUAUUCUUCUGAGUCGUCCGUGUUGGGCGAGGGUCUUCUCUGGUCAGAUUCUCUACGUUGAGCCCUGGUUGCAUUUUCUCCUCUUGCAUUUCUGCCUCUUCUCGGAUGUCUUGUGGUGCCGCAGAGGCCGUUGGAACUACCCUGGCUCCGUGGGACAGCGGGACCUGUGUUCCCGCUCCUCGGCUCAGCGAGGGCACCGGGGGCUUUCAGCCCCGUGUUCCUGGGUACUGAGAAUUCACCAAGCUUUGCAGGAAGCUGAACGUUUACGCUUCCCUUCCAGCGAUGGGGAGAGAGGCCUUGGGGACACCUGGUGGUUCUGUGGGGUUCAGGCAAAGGACUCAGAAGUGCAAGUCCCAGGUUGAUGUCCUGCUGACUGGGGGGCUGCCACAGGAGGGGCGAAUGGCAGGAGGAGGGCCUGGCCCAGGAGGGAAAGGAAGGGAUUCAGGAGCCCUGGGCUUGAUGAGGUCCAGGGGCUCAUGAGUGGCGACUUCCUCCCUUCUCUUUCCCUCCCAGGGCUUCUCACCAGGGAGCUGUGGCAAGGCCAGUGCCCUCAGAAGCCCAAAGGUGACCUCUGACAUGAUGAGAUGUCUUCGAGGUUACAGAAGCUGCAUGGAGAGGGUGUAAGCAGCAUGCUGGAGCCCAGGUGUCCCUCCGCUGGGGGGAAGGACGCUGGCUUUUGGAAAGGCUGAGUGUUCCCCGUCUCCCACUCACGGAGUGCAGGGCCCGGAUUCCAGCCAGCAGGCCGUCCCUAUUCUCCCAGCCACACGUGGGAACUCUGACCUAGUCGCCAAGUGGCCAUAGUAGGAUGUGGGAAGCCAUCUGUCUCUGGGUGACAGCUUCUCUGGGACCCUGGUGUCUGCCAAGGGCAGAGGGACACACAUGGAUUUGAGGGUCAUUCUGUAGGUCUUCAGUGCUCCGACAAUCUCACCCACAGCAAAGGGAACCUUGGAGAGUUAUUAAAUCUCUGUGCCUCGGUUUUUCUAGUCAUUAAAUAGUUAAUAGUCAUUACACUAACGACAUGGAGAUCAUAUGACAAUAGAGUGCCUAAUGAACACCUCAGAGAGCUCAAAGUGAAACACAGAGAGAAACAGAGAGAAGGGUGCUAUGACCACUAUUCUCAAGACAAUGGAAUAAAUACUAUGGAGAAGCUUGGGUUUCAGUGGACAUGUGAUGUGACCGGGGCUUCCCAGGUAAACACAUGGGAACUGGCAUUUGUGUGCACUUAUUUUUCUAAUUAAAAAAAAAUACUGAGACAAAUCAAUGUAUAAGAAAUUCAUGUAUAUUUAUAAUAGUGAAAAGUGACUGAAGUCAGGAUUUGAAAUUCCUUGCCCUCCCUUCCCCUGCACCCCCAAACUUAAUCCUUGCUGACCGGAUCUGGUUUCCCUGCCUUUAAACUGAAAUGUGCUCCCCAAUUACACUUUAUAUAAACAGCGAGCACACCUUCCAGGCACACAGAGCUUCAUCUUUGUGAAUCACUGUGUCCUCUGAGCCUCCUUAGAGCCCUUGGGGGGUGCCUGCCGCGGCCUCUGCUCUGUAGCUGCCCGGUUAGUACCAUGGUACCACAGCCCUCUGUGGGGAAUCCAAGUCACGAGUCCUACAGGAACCACAGUUGAAUGAAAGAGAUUAUAUACGUAUUUCUGUCUGGGUCUGGUAGAAAGAGGAGCUGGGGAGUAUUUUAUACGGGAAAGUGUCACAAAUCACCAUGUUGAAUCAUAUUAAAAUCUGGAGAAGCAGGCUUGCUCCAAGUCAGACUAUUAGAAGAGACUCCCAACUCUCAUACUGUGUCAAAGUCCACGUUUUUCUCCCGUGCGUGGCUGCAUGGUUUACGGCCUGCUCAUUCCAAGAAGGUGUGUGUUAUGUAAUGUUUAACCAGUCAGAGGAAUUUCCCAGCCUCAAAGGCAUUCGGUACAGACAACAGAGACAUGUGAUUGCCUGAGUAGAUUCUAAAGUUCAUGGCGUUACCAGUCGCUGGGAGAAUAACCUUGACUUAUCAGGGUGUGUAUGGUGAGAAAUAAGGAAAGCUCACUCUUGUCACAUUUUCCUAUAAACGCUCCAGGACUCUUGGCCUCCUGCUGCCCUGACCCCUCGGUGGCCCUGCUGUGGUGGCACCACCAGGCUGCCUGCUCCUGCACCCCUGAUCGCUCAGUUAUCCAUUAACCGGGACACUGUGCGUAAUGGCACCCCCGCCUGCAGGGGACUGGCGCAAGCGCGUCACCCAGAGGAGAGCAUGACGAGGGUUGUGUGAGUGUGAAAGCCAUGCAGUGUUAACAAUUAGGUUAACAAAGAAGCAAACAAAUAAAGCUUAUGCAAAGGAAAAAAAGGUGGAAGGAAAUAAUCAAAAUAUCAACUCUCUUUGGGAAUUUUUAACCAAGUAACAAGGACAGGGAAGGCACUGGUGAGUCCUUCCAGAACAAUAACGUUGCGCAAUUCUUUAUGAACUACGCAAGCGUGCUUCCCCCGUGGAUCGAUUCUCUGGCGUCAUCUCUUUCUGGGUUGAUCUCCUCUCCCCUGGAUCUAAGCCCAUUUUCUGUUGCCAUAACCGAAUGCCACAGAGAGAGCAAUCAAUAAAGAAGGGGGUUUAUUCAGCGCCCAGUGCAGUCCUUGGCAUCUACAGGCCCUCAAAAGAUGUUUGAUGAAUGAAGAAACAAAAUCAAACACAAUUUCCGCUCUCGGUCACCUGCUAAUUAACGCAGGCAGCUGUGACACAGUGAAAAGACAGACCCGUGUGAGAAUGGAGUGAGCUGUGGCCUAGUGGCAGAGCACUGGCCUGGCACGCAUGAGGCCUGGGCUCAGCACUGCCCAAAAUAAACAAACAAACCAACAAACAAAGGAAAAUUAAUACAAGAUGGAAAAACAGAAAUUUACUCCAAGCAACUUUCAGAGACGUAAACUAACUUUCCAUAUUCUGGGUCUCCCAAUGUUUUACUUUGUUGUUCCUGUUAACAAUUGUCAUCUGAGAUUUUGCUGUUUGUAUCCUGCCUAUCAAAAAUUCUGUGGUUUUGUGGUAAGAACAAGAACCAGUUUCUAUGCAGCCAUGGUAAUCAUUGCUUGUGGAAAACAAAACAAAAUAAACAACUCUUUUCCUUGAGCUCAUAAAAGAAAA
Marmota monax (woodchuck) is the source of this 7028-nucleotide long non-coding RNA. RefSeq lists it as uncharacterized. The transcript has 3 exons. NCBI's taxonomy places the organism in Eukaryota, Metazoa, Chordata, Mammalia, Rodentia, Sciuridae. The record is from RefSeq and is a predicted model, not a curated record.